UACGUAGGGCGCAAGCGUUGUCCGGAAUUAUUGGGCGUAAAGAGCUCGUAGGCGGCUUGUCACGUCGGGUGUGAAAGCCCGGGGCUUAACCCCGGGUCUGCAUUCGAUACGGGCUAGCUAGAGUAUGGUAGGGGAGAUCGGAAUUCCUGGUGUAGCGGUGAAAUGCGCAGAUAUCAGGAGGAACACCGGUGGCGAAGGCGGAUCUCUGGGCCAUUACUGACGCUGAGGAGCGAAAGCGUGGGGAGCGAACAGG
This 253-nucleotide ribosomal RNA is filed under the name uncultured bacterium. RNAcentral describes it as "partial 16S ribosomal RNA". It matches the Rfam family "Bacterial small subunit ribosomal RNA", at positions 524 to 776 of the family's 1533-position model. The record is from RNAcentral.